RNAcentral lists this microRNA precursor (110 nucleotides) under Pelobates cultripes (western spadefoot toad). The record is from RNAcentral. Lineage: Eukaryota; Metazoa; Chordata; Amphibia; Anura; Pelobatidae.
AAAUUUUAUUCGCCAACAAUCGCAUAUAAAAUGGAAUCUCUCAAAUAAGUGCAAUAAUUUGAGAGAUUCCAUUUUAUAUGCGAUUGUUGGCGAAUAAAAUUUGUUCCUGC